This 283-nucleotide long non-coding RNA is filed under the name Rattus norvegicus (Norway rat). RNAcentral's name for it is "long non-coding RNA NONRATT013713". The record is from RNAcentral. Lineage: Eukaryota; Metazoa; Chordata; Mammalia; Rodentia; Muridae.
GCGAGACUGCCCGCGACAGGGGCGGUCCGGGCGCAGUCUAGCGGCUUCCGGUCGUUGGAGGUGUGGUUCUGUGCUGCCUGCUUGGAGAUUAAAGUGUUUAUUUUCGGCAACACACUAUUGCCGUGGCACCUGGGAGCGUCAAGUAAGCCAUUUCAGAAGAAAGUGAGGUGCAGGACUGAACUAAGUGGCUGAUCCAAGGAAUGUCCUAUGUUGAAAAGCUGGGUAGGUGACUACAGAAACAUACUGAAAUCUCUUUCAAUGAUUGAAUUGUGUCUUAAGAAAA